Peromyscus eremicus (cactus mouse) is the source of this 1024-nucleotide long non-coding RNA. RefSeq lists it as uncharacterized. Lineage: Eukaryota; Metazoa; Chordata; Mammalia; Rodentia; Cricetidae. The transcript has 5 exons. The record is from RefSeq and is a predicted model, not a curated record.
UGCCGUUUUAUAGUAAUGAACAACAAAAUCAAGCAGGUCAAUACUGUGCUCGGUUUCCAUUUGUGCUUUUAUACUGGCAGUCUUCUGAAAUAAUUGCCACAGAGAUGGGAGAUUCUAGAACAGAGACAAAGGAACGAGCAGAAAAGUCCCCUGAUAAAAACACUAGCCUCGUGGAUUUGCUACCCAACAGUUCAGCAGCUGUCUUGGAAUUAAGGAUUUUGCUUGUGGACUUUGUCUAUUUUUCCCACUUUGAAAGGAAAACUGGAAUGAACCGAGGGAAAGACUAGAAGACAUCUCAGGUCAUAAACGUCAGUUGCUUCUGUGAGAGCUGUAGGUUCCCGGGGCUCCAGUAAGAAAAGAAGAGAAAACACACAGGCCUGUCAUUCCCCACCCCUGCUCAUCACAGGAGCCAGGAGAACUCAGUGCUGUCUGGCUGAACAAUGUUCUGGAGUGUUCUUGGAGACCUGCUGUUUGUCUUUCUUCCCUGGACACUGGAGGUGGGAUGAGGAGACCCAUGGCUCUGAAGCUCCCAACCCAACCAGAAGGAGGGUGGACAGCCUGUGAGCAAACGCAUAAACACAUGUUCAGAAGCCAUGGCAUAAUACCAGCAGUGAAGGAUCCUAUCAUGAGUCAGAGAGUAUCACACAGAAGCUCAGGAUCCUCCCUUCCAGUUAUCAGAUGCACUGGGGAGAGUUCAUCUAAGAGACUGAAAACGAUUCAGGGUAUUGGUAUUGCUCUAGGUCGCCUGCUAGAACUUGAAGGUGACUGCCACCGAUGGCUGAAAGAAUUAAGACUGACAUAGAAUGUCCCUGUUCAGCAAUUCCAAAGCAACACAGCCAGCCGGAAGCUACCAAUCAAGACGUCUGAUUGUUGUCCAGAUCUCCAGGCCAAGAUGCAGCAGACUAGACCCUUCAUGAUAGUUUGUCUUUUUCCUUUGAUUUGUGAAGUCAGUUCCCACUUAAUAGAAACUGUAACCUCAAGUUUUAAACUUUGAUCCUUUACCAAAUUAAUAGUAUAAGCACUA